RNAcentral lists this ribosomal RNA (288 nucleotides) under Thamnodynastes pallidus. RNAcentral describes it as "partial 12S ribosomal RNA". The record is from RNAcentral. Lineage: Eukaryota; Metazoa; Chordata; Lepidosauria; Squamata; Dipsadidae.
AAAGACUUGACGGUACUUCACAACAACCUAGAGGAGCCUGUCUAAUAACCGAUACCCCACGAUUAACCCCACCCGCCCUAGCCCCACAGUCUAUAUACCGCCGUCGCCAGCUUACCUUGUGAAAGAAAUAAAGUAAGCAAAAUAAACCACCAUUUAACACGACAGGUCGAGGUGUAACUAAUGGACGGGUAAAAGAUGGGCUACACUUUCUAAUACAGAAAACACGAACAAACUAUGAAACUAGAAACUGAAGGCGGAUUUAGCAGUAUGUUAAGAAUAAAAUACUUA